GUAGGGAGCAAACGUUGUCCGGAUUUAUUGGGCGUAAAGGGCUCGUAGGCGGUUCAACAAGUCGAUCGUGAAAGCCCGGGGCUCAACCCCCGGGAGGCCGGUCGAAACUGUUGUGACUAGAGUUCGGUAGAGGUGAGUGGAAUUCUCGGUGUAGCGGUGGAAUGCGCAGAUAUCGAGAGGAACACCAUUAGCGAAGGCGGCUCACUGGGCCGAUACUGACGCUGAGGAGCGAAAGCGUGGGGAGCAAACAGGAUUAGAAACCCUGGUAGUCCACGCCGUAAACGAUGAACACUAGGUGUAGCGGACUGAUUCACGUCUGCUGUGCCGUAGCUAACGCAUUAAGUGUUCCGCCUGGGGAUACGGCCGCAAGGCUA
This 374-nucleotide ribosomal RNA is filed under the name uncultured organism. RNAcentral describes it as "partial 16S ribosomal RNA". It matches the Rfam family "Bacterial small subunit ribosomal RNA", at positions 527 to 896 of the family's 1533-position model. The record is from RNAcentral.